GAUGAACGCUGGCGGCGUGCCUAAUACAUGCAAGUCGAGCGAACAGACGAGGAGCUUGCUCCUCUGACGUUAGCGGCGGACGGGUGAGUAACACGUGGAUAACCUACCUAUAAGACUGGGAUAACUUCGGGAAACCGGAGCUAAUACCGGAUAAUAUAUUGAACCGCAUGGUUCAAUAGUGAAAGACGGCUUUGCUGUCACUUAUAGAUGGAUCCGCGCCGCAUUAGCUAGUUGGUAAGGUAACGGCCUACCAAGGCAACGAUGCGUAGCCGACCUGAAAGGGUGAUCGGCCACACUGGAACUGGGACACGGUCCAGACUCCUACGGGAGGCAGCAGUAGGGAAUCUUACGCAAUGGGCGAAAGCCUGACGGAGCAACGCCGCGUGAGUGAUGAAGGUCUUCGGAUCGUAAAACUCUGUUAUUAGGGAAGAACAAAUGUGUAAGUAACUAUGCACGUCUUGACGGUACCUAAUCAGAAAGCCACGGCUAACUACGUG
RNAcentral lists this ribosomal RNA (497 nucleotides) under uncultured bacterium. Its description in RNAcentral is "partial 16S ribosomal RNA". It matches the Rfam family "Bacterial small subunit ribosomal RNA", at positions 28 to 507 of the family's 1533-position model. The record is from RNAcentral.